RNAcentral lists this ribosomal RNA (402 nucleotides) under Triticum aestivum (bread wheat). RNAcentral describes it as "partial small subunit ribosomal RNA". The record is from RNAcentral. Lineage: Eukaryota; Viridiplantae; Streptophyta; Magnoliopsida; Poales; Poaceae.
AUGCGUACUGUAACUGAAAACCUAAAAAUGUCUUGUGCAAUAGGAAGGACAUCCUACAAGUGCCUACAUGUGUUGAGAUUGCAAUGUGAAGCGUGGACACCAACCACAAAAAUAUUUUUAAGGAUAGGAACAGAUGUUCUUAGAGCCGGAAAAGGGGAAGAUUUAUUUGUCGACCUCUAUAUGAACAAGAUGGAGGUACCCAUUGAUCUUUUAUAUAGUAAAAACAUUAUUGCUACGAAUAUGAUAUAUGAGGUUGGUGUUCAUGUUUAUACAAUAAAUGGCACCAAAAUAAACUCAAGUUUCUCCAUAGCAUACCAACUAACAUGGCCUAGUAUCUCAACUUGCUACAAACAUGUGUACUUUUCUCCCUUCAUUUUGUAUGUUCUUUUUUCUUCUUAUUAG